CAGCACCGCAUGCUGUGAACUGCACAAAACCCUAUGGGCAGUGACUCUCCCACUGGGUUAUAUUGGGAAAGUUGUUACCUGUAGUGUUCUUAAACCCCUUUUUCCUCCUCUGCAAACAACGCUCAGCCCUUCCAACCAAGGGUAACCAGCUCCCUCAGGAUAAUCCCUGCCUGUGUUGCUGAGGUCCACAGCGUGGGCUGAGGAGGCCUGAUGAGGUUUCUCCACGUGAGGCAGCACAGGAGGUCUGGAGCAAUUGCUUUUGCUGCUAGACACUGGAGAGCAGGCGGGUUUCUAGCUGCUCUUGCAAAGGUACACAGAUCUGCUCAGGAGGAUUUUGAUACUGCUGCGGGAUCCUUUCAAGAGGAUGUCCCUCAAGUGCUUGAAUUGCUUGGUAAGGCUGCAGGGGA
Molecule: long non-coding RNA, 407 nt
Filed under: Struthio camelus australis
Lineage: Eukaryota; Metazoa; Chordata; Aves; Struthioniformes; Struthionidae
Description: lncRNA (ENSSCUG00000017055.1)
Source: RNAcentral